UGGGCGUGACUUCAGGGGGCUGAGGACUGGUGGUCCUAUGCAAAUAAGCCUCCUCUUCCCCAGCUACCAGCCCUGAAGCUCUGUGAGGUCAGAACAGCAGGUCCUGGGGGAUCCCUUCUGCAGGGCCAUGGCAUCCCCUUUGUUUUUCUAUUUGCAUGUAAAGAAGGCCACUCAGGUGCUCAAGGUCCAGUAAGUCCAGGUGACUUUCCACGCUAGCCAGCUCCUUCCUUACAAAGCAGUUGAGUUCUACAUCCAGGCACCAGCCACCCUCCCACCAUCUCACUGAUCCCAAGAUGCAGGGAAGGAAUGGAUCCAGCUGCCCCUUCACCGAUGGAGAAACUGAGGCCCAAAGAGGGGAGAUGAUCUGCCCAAGGUCACGAAGAGAUGGCAGCAGGGCCAGCACCAGAGCUGCCACUCCUGCGGGUUCCUGGUUCAAUGCGUUUCCCGCUGUGCCGUCAUGUGAAGCUGGUAGUCCUUUUCCUCUCCUGCCGAAGGUACUAAAACACAGCCAAACUGUCAAAAAUAUCAGCAGCAAGAUGACCACACUCCAAAAGAAGCAACAGUUUCAUGAUUUUCCACAAUGCCCCAAGGGCUUGGAAGAUAGAGCGUUCUUCAAAACUGCCCCCACGCUGAACAGCCAACCAAAUAGCUUCCAAAGUCGCAGAUCGACUCAUGGCUGAUAUUUUCAGGAGCUCCGUGUCAAUAGCUGAUGUUCAUAUUUUCUGAGAAACAGGCAUUGUGGAACAAAUGCAAAAUCAAUACCAUCUGUCUCCAGGAAACAGCUCGAGAUUCCAGACAUCAGAGAGGCCUGACACAGCCAGGUUCCAGCACGAGAAGACAGAGGUGGAGCGAGAUGGGAAGCAAAGAGAUCCGUUUCUGAUCCAGAGGACUCCUCCCCUUGUUCUUAGAAGACAAAAUCAGUGAGAUCUCUGAAUGAUUCUUCCUCUUUAAAACACUCAGCCCAAAUACAUGUUUGUGAUAUCAUCAUCACAUUUGGCAGCAGGUUGGCCUGUGGUCAGAUGGCAGGGGGGACUUCCUCAGUAGGAGAUACAGAGAUCUGCAAGAGACCGGCCACUGAGGCUGGUUAACGUGAAUACACAUUCUCCCAGGACCAAUUGCCUGACUAAGACAGCCUCCAAAGGCGCCUGGAGGCCGAGGACUCUUAGAAGACUGGCUCAGCAGGUGUACCCAUCAGAAGCCGGCUCUGGGAACUUACACAGAGGGGAUUUUCAGGAAGGAUACUGAGGCCUCACAGAUUCACUAUGCAGAGAGCAAGUUGGGCUUGGGAAAUAGACCACAGCAGCUCCUGGAGUCCAGGCCUUCGGAUGCACUGUGACCACUGAGUCAGCCCUCAGAAGACUCCCCGGGAAGUGCGCAGCAGAGCCCCGGGGUGGCCCGUCCAGAAGGGCACCCCUCCGGGGAUGACAGCACUCAGCAAACUGCCUCCCCACAGAUACAGCCACUCCGGCUCUGGAGUUCCUGAAGACCUCAGUGGCUCUUGAAUGGUGAGCAUCCUUGGCUACCCAGCACGGAGGCUACUUGUGUACAUCUCGUUUCUAUGGUAACCCCAUUCCCCAAAUCCUAAGCAAGACUUAAGGUUGGAUGAGACACAUGUGCAUGGGGAGCCAGGAGCAGGCUUUAAACCUGGAGAACUCAGGUGCCCAGGGUGGCUCUGGCGCUGUCUCUCUGCAGUGGACUGUCCCAGUACACUCAGGCAGCUCUGUGCUCCCAGCUGCCCUGGGCAUCAGUGUCAUGGGCUGAACCAACACACAGGGCAGCCCCAGCCCUCCCUGCUCUGUCCUCUGCCCGAGUCAGGGCUCUCCAAGACAGCGCUGCUGGGCACCGUGGUGCUGACCGGACACCAACAGCUCACCGCCACCCCGUUCCCUCGGAUGGACCCAUGCGCCCCAUGCAAUGGAAGGGCCUUGCUCUUGUCCCUUUCAUUCUCUCAUCAGCCUGGCUUCCCUGAGGACUGCCUCAGUCUCUGGUUGGAUUGGGGACUGCCUUAGCAUGCUCUGGUGACAAGUGACAUUCAUUGAGUGGUGGGACUGGAGCAGAUAUGCCAUGGAACGGGCUGCAGGGCUGCUGCCGUCGGUCACCAGGAUUACAAGGAGCGGGGGCCUUGGAGGCUGGACGAAUCUGUCUUAAUGUGGGAAUGACAGUCAGGACCCUUGGUGACAAGUGACAGAAACACAGCCUGAGCCAGAUCAGGGAAGAGGGAGGGUUUGUAGGUUUAGAGGCCAAACCUCAGGUAGGGCUGGCAUGCUGUGGACGUCUGGGAUCGCCGGGAUGGUCUCCAUCUCUAAUCCGCCCUUCCCAGGGUCAGCACCACGCUUGCAGACCUGUCUCCUCUGAAGAGCUUGGCUGUGGCAGCCACAGGUCCCAGCUCACAAGCUCCCAGCCUCCUUAGGGUGAUGAAGACGGGGGCAAGGCCUUUCCUCGGCCCCCAGUGGAAAACUCCUGCUGAGGUGCUGGCUUGGAGCUUGGAGCAUGUGCUCUUCCUUGGGUGCCAGCCCCAUCCUCACCCCCAGGACCCGCAUGAAUGUAAGACCAUGAAUAAGCACAGGGGAAGAACUCAAUAAUCGGUUGUCAUCUGGAUAAAGAAAACAACUUUCCAGGCAGAAGAAACGGCAGCUGGAACCAAGAUGGCUGGAGCAGCCGUGGAGCAGCGGUGGAGCCCACUGGUCCCGAGUACAUGCUUCGGCGUGAAAAGGACCUGUGGCCAGCUGUGGCCCUGGGCAAGCUGCUUGACCUUCCUGAGUCUCGCCUCCGCAUCUGCACAGUCAGGACUGGCACAGCGCUGGCCUCCUGAUGCUGUGUGUGGUGGUGUUUGCAGAGCGCUUGAUAGAACGCGGGUUCAAAGCAAACCCUUCAUCUACGGGCCGAGGAGGAAACCUGACUCAGCACGCAGGCCAGCCCAAGGAGAGAGAUGAGGCGGGGCUGGCCGGUGGGGACGCAGUGGCCUUGAAUGGCAUGUCAAGGCCUCUGCCCUGGGGACAGUGCAGUGGGAGGAGCUGCCCAGGCUCAGGGGCUGAAGUCAGAAGAGCCAGAAAUAAACGCCACCCUCAAGGCCCAGAUGGGGACCUACCCC
Non-coding RNA from Macaca mulatta (Rhesus monkey), 3091 nucleotides. Lineage: Eukaryota; Metazoa; Chordata; Mammalia; Primates; Cercopithecidae. The record is from RefSeq and is a predicted model, not a curated record.